GCAUGGUCCCAUGCCCAAAAUAGUUUCAGAGAAUCAGGGCUUACGGUCAGUCUAGUUCGGUAGUUUAAAAAUGAACAAACUACCGAACAGAGUCAAUAGUUUUACCCUGGAGCUUGAUCCCCUUGUUCGUGGGAACGUUUCCACCGAACAGCGCCCUUCUAAGUGUUGUAGAACCGAACUCAGGCAAUGCUGAAAGUCAAG
This is a non-coding RNA of Pelobates cultripes (western spadefoot toad), 201 nucleotides long. Lineage: Eukaryota; Metazoa; Chordata; Amphibia; Anura; Pelobatidae. The record is from the annotation of a GenBank genome assembly.